Molecule: long non-coding RNA, 689 nt
Filed under: Serinus canaria (Common canary)
Lineage: Eukaryota; Metazoa; Chordata; Aves; Passeriformes; Fringillidae
Description: lncRNA (ENSSCAG00000002529.1)
Source: RNAcentral
GACAGGUGUUCACACAAUCCAGGCACUCAUGAGGUUUUAAUCAUUAAACUAAACAGUUCUUUGAAAGCAGAGGAAUUUGGAGUUAAUUCUGAUCUUUAUACUUGUGCUGAUCACAUCCACUCCAGUGUGUCCAUGCAGUGACAUCCACGGGCCUGCCUAAGCAGCAAGCAGAAGGAAACAAAAUGGAGUCCUGCAUCCCUGAAAAUGAGACGCAGCGGAAAUUCUGUUGAUCUUUCUUCCCAAGAUCAUGCAUUAACGGCAUUCUGGCAGGACUAAGCUUAUGAUAAUGAAUUGAAUCAUAAAAAACAAUCAUAAAACAUCUCCAUAUUGCAUCCAUGAGAUUGACUAGGAUGAUUUACACUAAAUGGAUUUUUACAUGGAAUGGAUUUCUUUUCCAAAGUUCACCGAGAGUCAAGACUACAUCCCUACGUGUUUAGGAGCCAGAAAUUAUCGUGCCACACACGGUCAGGUGGCAUUUUUCCAGAAGCUGACAUGUCCUUUCAUUGCUAAAAACCUCAGUUUGGAAUGGAAUGGAGUCAAGUACAGGAAGGAGAUGAUUAUGGAAACUGUAAGAAUUUGAGACCUCAGCUAUCUUCAGACACAGCAAAACAUUUCCUCCUGUUAUCAGCAGGAACUGCCAGCAUGGUGUAAAUUUCUGAGGAGCAGUACUGAUUUUGGAGUGUUAUUAG